RNAcentral lists this unclassified non-coding RNA (341 nucleotides) under Nocardia otitidiscaviarum. Its description in RNAcentral is "16S-23S ribosomal RNA intergenic spacer". The record is from RNAcentral. Lineage: Bacteria; Bacillati; Actinomycetota; Actinomycetes; Mycobacteriales; Nocardiaceae.
CUAAGGAGCAUUCUCCAGUGAGCUUCUCGAACAGUCGAGAUCGCUUCUGGCAGAGACAGUUUCGGACUCACACGUAGUCCGGCUGAAGCUCAUGGGUGGAACGCUGACAAGCUUCAUCGCAUCAUGCUCGGUCCUCAGCGGUCGAGCGCGGUGAAUAUAUCGACACACUGUUGGGUCCUGAAAGAACAGACGUUCUUUCCAGGCAAAAGACGAUCUACUCGGAUGUCGAGUGAAACCGCCGGUUCUCCGGUAGGUCCUCCGAGGAAUUCUGGGUGGGUGUGUUGUUUGAGAACUGCACAGCGGACGCGAGCAUCUUUGUUAGUAAGUGUGUAAGAGCGUAC